Molecule: ribosomal RNA, 411 nt
Filed under: Bacillus amyloliquefaciens
Lineage: Bacteria; Bacillati; Bacillota; Bacilli; Caryophanales; Bacillaceae
Also listed under: 2 other names
Description: bacterial SSU rRNA
Rfam family: Bacterial small subunit ribosomal RNA
Source: RNAcentral
UUAUCGGAGAGUUUGAUCCUGGCUCAGGACGAACGCUGGCGGCGUGCCUAAUACAUGCAAGUCGAGCGGACAGAUGGGAGCUUGCUCCCUGAUGUUAGCGGCGGACGGGUGAGUAACACGUGGGUAACCUGCCUGUAAGACUGGGAUAACUCCGGGAAACCGGGGCUAAUACCGGAUGGUUGUUUGAACCGCAUGGUUCAGACAUAAAAGGUGGCUUCGGCUACCACUUACAGAUGGACCCGCGGCGCAUUAGCUAGUUGGUGAGGUAACGGCUCACCAAGGCGACGAUGCGUAGCCGACCUGAGAGGGUGAUCGGCCACACUGGGACUGAGACACGGCCCAGACUCCUACGGGAGGCAGCAGUAGGGAAUCUUCCGCAAUGGACGAAAGUCUGACGGAGCAACGCCGCGU